This 428-nucleotide ribosomal RNA is filed under the name uncultured bacterium. RNAcentral's name for it is "bacterial SSU rRNA". It matches the Rfam family "Bacterial small subunit ribosomal RNA", at positions 355 to 776 of the family's 1533-position model. The record is from RNAcentral.
UGGGGAAUAUUGGACAAUGGGCGAAAGCCUGAUCCAGCCAUGCCGCGUGAGUGAUGAAGGUCUUCGGAUCGUAAAGCUCUGUGGGAAGGGACGAAAAAGCGUGACCUAAUACGUCUCGCCUUGACGGUACCUUCUUAGCAAGCACCGGCUAACUCCGUGCCAGCAGCCGCGGUAAUACGGAGGGUGCAAACGUUGCUCGGAAUUAUUGGGCGUAAAGCGCACGUAGGCGGUCCGCUAAGUCGGAUGUGAAAGCCCUCGGCUUAACCGAGGAAGUGCAUCCGAAACUGGCGGGCUAGAGUACGGAAGAGGGUUUCGGAAUUCCCGGUGUAGAGGUGAAAUUCGUAGAUAUCGGGAGGAACACCAGUGGCGAAGGCGGAAACCUGGGCCGAUACUGACGCUGAGGUGCGAAAGCGUGGGGAGCAAACAGG